UCUGAAGCUCUGUUGGGCUCAAACCAAGAAACACAGGUGGUCUUACCGAGCCACACAACUUUUUGGAAACUUUUAUUAAUUUUUUGGGGGUGCCCCAUUGUUCAGAGUCCUCUGGUUGCAUUUACAAGUGUAAUAGAAAAUGACAGCCCUGUUAUCCUUUCUUAAAAUGUCAAAGACCACAUAAAACAAACCUCAUUCACAGUAUGCGGUGCUUGGUUUUUUGUCCUUGCGAUAGUUUGCUGAGAAUGAUGGUUUCCAGCUUCAUCCAUUUCCCCACAAAGGACAUGAACUCAUCGUUUUUUAUGGCUGCAUAGUAUUCCACGGUGUAUAUGUGCCACAUUUUCUUAAUCCAGUCUAUCAUUGUUGGACAUUUGGGUUGGUUCCAAGUCUUUGCUAUUGUGAAUAGUGCCACAAUAAACAUAUGUGUGCAUGUGUCCUUAUAGCAGCAUGAUUUAUAAUCCUUUGGGUAUAUACCCACUAAUGGGAUGGCUGGGUCAAAUGGUAUUUCCAGUUCUAGAUCCCUGAGGAAUUGCCACACUGACUUCCACAAUGGUUGAACUAGUUUACAGUCCCACCAACAAUGUAAAAGUGUUCCUAUUUCACCACAUCCUCUCCAGCACCUGUUGUUUCCUGACUUUUUAAUGAUUGCCAUUCUAACUGGUGUGAGAUGGUAUCUCAUUGUGGUUUUGAUUUGCAUUUCUCUGAUGGCCAGUGAUGAUGAGCAUUUUUUCAUGUGUUUUUUGGCUGCAUAAAUGUCUUCUUUUGAGAAGUAUCUGUUCAUAUCAUUUGCCCACUUUUUGAUGGGGUUGUUUGU
This 814-nucleotide long non-coding RNA is filed under the name Homo sapiens (human). Its description in RNAcentral is "non-protein coding lnc-KLF5-11:3". Lineage: Eukaryota; Metazoa; Chordata; Mammalia; Primates; Hominidae. The record is from RNAcentral.